AUUUAUAUAGUUUAAAUAAAACAUUACAUUUUCACUGUAAAAAUAUUUUUUAUUAAUUAUAAAUU
Molecule: transfer RNA, 65 nt
Filed under: Perisphaerus sp. 2 ZQW-2023b
Lineage: Eukaryota; Metazoa; Arthropoda; Insecta; Blattodea; Blaberidae
Description: tRNA-Glu
Source: RNAcentral